Molecule: ribosomal RNA, 380 nt
Filed under: uncultured bacterium
Lineage: Bacteria
Description: bacterial SSU rRNA
Rfam family: Bacterial small subunit ribosomal RNA
Source: RNAcentral
GACGAACGCUGGCGGCGUGCUUAACACAUGCAAGUCGAACGAGGUUCAACCGGUGGCAACACCGGGGACGGCCUAGUGGCGAACGGGUGAGUAUCACGUGAGGAACCUGCCCCGAAGACCGGGAUAACCCUCCGAAAGGAGAGCUAAUACCGGAUGCCCUCACCGGGCCGCAUGAUCUGGUGAGGAAAUGGAUUCCGCUUCGGGAGGGCCUCGCGGCCUAUCAGCUUGUUGGUGGGGUAACGGCCCACCAAGGCUUCGACGGGUAGCUGGUCUGAGAGGACGAUCAGCCACACUGGGACUGAGACACGGCCCAGACUCCUACGGGAGGCAGCAGUGGGGAAUCUUGCCCAAUGGGCGAAAGCCUGAGGCAGCAACGCCGC